AGCAGCCGCGGUAAUUCCAGCUCCAAUAGCGUAUAUUAAAGUUGUUGCAGUUAAAAAGCUCGUAGUUAAAUUUCGGGGUCAGCAGGUUGGUCGUGCCUCUGGUACGCACUGGUUUCGCUGAUUCCUCCUUUCUGAAGAACCGUAAUGUCAUUAAUUUGGUGUUGCAGGGAAACAGGACUGUUACUUUGAAAAAAUUAGAGUGUUUAAAGCAAGCUAACGCUUGAAUACAUUAGCAUGGAAUAAUGAAAUAGGACGUUUGAUCCUAUUUUGUUGGUUUCUAGGAUUGACGUAAUGAUUAAUAGGGAUAGUUGGGGGCAUUAGUAUUCAAUUGUCAGAGGUGAAAUUCUUGGAUUUAUUGAAGACCAACUACUGCGAAAGCAUUUGCCAAGGAUGUUUUCAUUAAUCAAGAACGAAAGUUAGGGGAUCGAAGACGAUCAGAUACCGUCGUAGUCUUAACCAUAAACUAUGCCGACUAGGGAUCGGAUGAUGUUAAUUUUUUAAUGACUCA
Molecule: ribosomal RNA, 508 nt
Filed under: uncultured Glomeromycotina
Lineage: Eukaryota; Fungi; Glomeromycota
Description: SSU rRNA
Rfam family: Eukaryotic small subunit ribosomal RNA
Source: RNAcentral